Molecule: long non-coding RNA, 1131 nt
Filed under: Cairina moschata (Muscovy duck)
Lineage: Eukaryota; Metazoa; Chordata; Aves; Anseriformes; Anatidae
Description: domestica (muscovy Duck (domestic type)) lncRNA (ENSCMMG00000007065.1)
Source: RNAcentral
AUGCUUUAUUCCUUUAAGACCCAGGAAGAUGGGAGAAGAGAUCACUUUGACACCCUAAAGGACGACACCAAAAGACUACAACAUGACAAAAAUCUUUUGGAGGAACAUCUGCCUAUUCCAGGAGGGAUAUCAGGAAACAUGUCCAGGCAGAAACACAAAUUGAGAAAACGUCUGCAGCAGCAUACAAAAUUACCACAACAGGACAAAUAAUAAAAUAUUUACCAUGACACAGUAAGUCUCCCUUACCAUGGCAGCAUAGAGCAGUCUCUCCAACAACAUACUUUCAGUGUUAAGUCAUGGAAGUGGUGUCAGAAAAUGGUUUAUUGUAAAUUACGGCCUGGAUUGCCAUAUAUCCACUACACCUACAGGAAUCUGAACUCUGAAGUCAUUUCGAGGUAGGGUUACAUCCAGAAGAAAGGAUAUCUUCCCUGGGAGAUAAAACAAUACAGCACUUCUAUGUUUUACAGAUGUAGUGAGAGGAAUAAAAAACAUGGGAAAUGGACAUCAAGCUGGGGGAAACUUUUCUGAAACCACACAGCUUUUUCCAGAAAAGGCAAUUAAAAAGGCUUGUUUCUUGAGCAUUAGUACAAAAUCUGCCCCUCCUUUGGCCAUUAAACCAUAAUAGAGUCAUCUUCUGAUUUUAAUUUAAUCUGCUCUUAUCACUUCGUUUGAAACAAGCAAUAUUUUUGCCAUCUAUUUGAUCACCAUAGCGUGUGUUACAGCUUGCACAGAACAUGCCAGCAUGAAUAUGUCAAUAAACAGUUAAAUCACACAACUUCUGUGGCAGCAUUUCAUUGCUCUGAGUAUCUUUCCUUGGCCUUUCUUCUUUUACCAAGCAGAGAAUUUUGGGCCCCCAAAACAGCAACUAACCCUAACCUUUAUCUGAGCUGCCUCAGUAGACGUGCCCCACCAGCACCAUGAUUAAGCAGACGGAAAGGCCGUGUUGCAUUUAACAGCAAAUAAAUUAAUGCUGUGGAACAGUGAGAGCCAAACUGAGGUUUUCAAAGUUGGAAUAUUUCUUUUAAAAAUAGAAAAUGUUGUUUUUACACACAGAAAGGGGGAUUUCAUUCACAAAUACCAAGAUCUGAAAAACAGAAGAGUAAGCUUGAUAGAGCUGAUUGACUGGAGAAG